Molecule: ribosomal RNA, 292 nt
Filed under: uncultured bacterium
Lineage: Bacteria
Description: partial 16S ribosomal RNA
Rfam family: Bacterial small subunit ribosomal RNA
Source: RNAcentral
GUGUCAGCCGCCGCGGUAAAACGUAGGACACAAGCGUUAUCCGGAGUUACUGGGCGUAAAGGGCGUUUAGGCGGGUGAUUAAGUUCGCUAUGAAAGCGCCAGGCUAAACCUGGCGAGGCUGGCGGAUACUGGUCAUCUGGAGUGAGUCAGAGGAAGGUAGAAUUCCGCGUGUAGUGGUGAAAUGCGUAGAGAUGCGGAGGAAUACCAGUGGCGAAGGCGGCCUUCUGGGACUCAACUGACGCUGAAGCGCGAAAGCAUGGGGAGCGAACGGGAUUAGAAACCCUCGUAGUCC